Molecule: ribosomal RNA, 2632 nt
Filed under: Salmonella enterica subsp. enterica serovar Enteritidis
Lineage: Bacteria; Pseudomonadati; Pseudomonadota; Gammaproteobacteria; Enterobacterales; Enterobacteriaceae
Description: partial 23S ribosomal RNA
Rfam family: Bacterial large subunit ribosomal RNA
Source: RNAcentral
ACUAUCAUUAACUGAAUCCAUAGGUUAAUGAGGCGAACCGGGGGAACUGAAACAUCUAAGUACCCCGAGGAAAAGAAAUCAACCGAGAUUCCCCCAGUAGCGGCGAGCGAACGGGGAGGAGCCCAGAGCCUGAAUCAGCAUGUGUGUUAGUGGAAGCGUCUGGAAAGGCGCGCGAUACAGGGUGACAGCCCCGUACACAAAAGCGCAUGUGCUGUGAGCUCGAUGAGUAGGGCGGGACACGUGGUAUCCUGUCUGAAUAUGGGGGGACCAUCCUCCAAGGCUAAAUACUCCUGACUGACCGAUAGUGAACCAGUACCGUGAGGGAAAGGCGAAAAGAACCCCGGCGAGGGGAGUGAAAAAGAACCUGAAACCGUGUACGUACAAGCAGUGGGAGCACCCUUUGGGUGUGACUGCGUACCUUUUGUAUAAUGGGUCAGCGACUUAUAUUCUGUAGCAAGGUUAACCGAAUAGGGGAGCCGGAGGGAAACCGAGUCUUAACCGGGCGUUAAGUUGCAGGGUAUAGACCCGAAACCCGGUGAUCUAGCCAUGGGCAGGUUGAAGGUUGGGUAACACUAACUGGAGGACCGAACCGACUAAUGUUGAAAAAUUAGCGGAUGACCUGUGGCUGGGGGUGAAAGGCCAAUCAAACCGGGAGAUAGCUGGUUCUCCCCGAAAGCUAUUUAGGUAGCGCCUCGUGAAUUCAUCUCCGGGGGUAGAGCACUGUUUCGGCUAGGGGGCCAUCCCGGCUUACCAACCCGAUGCAAACUGCGAAUACCGGAGAAUGUUAUCACGGGAGACACACGGCGGGUGCUAACGUCCGUCGUGAAGAGGGAAACAACCCAGACCGCCAGCUAAGGUCCCAAAGUCAUGGUUAAGUGGGAAACGAUGUGGGAAGGCCCAGACAGCCAGGAUGUUGGCUUAGAAGCAGCCAUCAUUUAAAGAAAGCGUAAUAGCUCACUGGUCGAGUCGGCCUGCGCGGAAGAUGUAACGGGGCUAAACCAUGCACCGAAGCUGCGGCAGCGACACUGUGUGUUGUUGGGUAGGGGAGCGUUCUGUAAGCCUGUGAAGGUGUGUCGUGAGGCAUGCUGGAGGUAUCAGAAGUGCGAAUGCUGACAUAAGUAACGAUAAAGCGGGUGAAAAGCCCGCUCGCCGGAAGACCAAGGGUUCCUGUCCAACGUUAAUCGGGGCAGGGUGAGUCGACCCCUAAGGCGAGGCCGAAAGGCGUAGUCGAUGGGAAACGGGUUAAUAUUCCCGUACUUGGUGUUACUGCGAAGGGGGGACGGAGAAGGCUAUGUUGGCCGGGCGACGGUUGUCCCGGUUUAAGCGUGUAGGUGUGUGUUCCAGGUAAAUCCGGUUCACUUUAACACUGAGGCGUGACGACGAGGCACUACGGUGCUGAAGCAACAAAUGCCCUGCUUCCAGGAAAAGCCUCUAAGCAUCAGGUAACAUCAAAUCGUACCCCAAACCGACACAGGUGGUCAGGUAGAGAAUACCAAGGCGCUUGAGAGAACUCGGGUGAAGGAACUAGGCAAAAUGGUGCCGUAACUUCGGGAGAAGGCACGCUGACACGUAGGUGAAGUGAUUUACUCAUGGAGCUGAAGUCAGUCGAAGAUACCAGCUGGCUGCAACUGUUUAUUAAAAACACAGCACUGUGCAAACACGAAAGUGGACGUAUACGGUGUGACGCCUGCCCGGUGCCGGAAGGUUAAUUGAUGGGGUCAGCGCAAGCGAAGCUCCUGAUCGAAGCCCCGGUAAACGGCGGCCGUAACUAUAACGGUCCUAAGGUAGCGAAAUUCCUUGUCGGGUAAGUUCCGACCUGCACGAAUGGCGUAAUGAUGGCCAGGCUGUCUCCACCCGAGACUCAGUGAAAUUGAACUCGCUGUGAAGAUGCAGUGUACCCGCGGCAAGACGGAAAGACCCCGUGAACCUUUACUAUAGCUUGACACUGAACAUUGAGCCUUGAUGUGUAGGAUAGGUGGGAGGCUUUGAAGUGUGGACGCCAGUCUGCAUGGAGCCGACCUUGAAAUACCACCCUUUAAUGUUUGAUGUUCUAACGUGGACCCGUUACCCGGGUUGCGGACAGUGUCUGGUGGGUAGUUUGACUGGGGCGGUCUCCUCCUAAAGAGUAACGGAGGAGCACGAAGGUUGGCUAAUCCUGGUCGGACAUCAGGAGGUUAGUGCAAUGGCAUAAGCCAGCUUGACUGCGAGCGUGACGGCGCGAGCAGGUGCGAAAGCAGGUCAUAGUGAUCCGGUGGUUCUGAAUGGAAGGGCCAUCGCUCAACGGAUAAAAGGUACUCCGGGGAUAACAGGCUGAUACCGCCCAAGAGUUCAUAUCGACGGCGGUGUUUGGCACCUCGAUGUCGGCUCAUCACAUCCUGGGGCUGAAGUAGGUCCCAAGGGUAUGGCUGUUCGCCAUUUAAAGUGGUACGCGAGCUGGGUUUAGAACGUCGUGAGACAGUUCGGUCCCUAUCUGCCGUGGGCGCUGGAGAACUGAGGGGGGCUGCUCCUAGUACGAGAGGACCGGAGUGGACGCAUCACUGGUGUUCGGGUUGUCAUGCCAAUGGCACUGCCCGGUAGCUAAAUGCGGAAGAGAUAAGUGCUGAAAGCAUCUAAGCACGAAACUUGCCCCGAG